GACGAACCGUGCGAACGUUGUUCGGAUUCACUGGGCUUAAAGGGCGCGUAGGCGGCUUGCCAAGUCAGGGGUGAAAUCUUUCGGCUCAACCGGAAAACGGCCCCUGAUACUGGCGGGCUUGAGGGAGGUAGGGGCGGAUGGAACUUCCGGUGGAGCGGUGAAAUGCGUAGAUAUCGGAAGGAACGCCGGUGGCGAAAGCGAUCCGCUGGACCUCCUCUGACGCUGAGGCGCGAAAGCCAGGGGAGCAAACGGG
Molecule: ribosomal RNA, 253 nt
Filed under: uncultured bacterium
Lineage: Bacteria
Description: partial 16S ribosomal RNA
Rfam family: Bacterial small subunit ribosomal RNA
Source: RNAcentral